GGACGCUUAGCUCAGCUGGUUAGAGCACCUCAUUUACACUGAGGGGGUCUGGGGUUCGAAUCCCUAAGCGUCCA
RNAcentral lists this transfer RNA (74 nucleotides) under Candidatus Levyibacteriota bacterium. Its description in RNAcentral is "tRNA-Val". It matches the Rfam family "tRNA". From Rfam's summary of the family: Transfer RNA (tRNA) molecules are approximately 80 nucleotides in length. Lineage: Bacteria; Candidatus Levyibacteriota. The record is from RNAcentral.